Molecule: long non-coding RNA, 346 nt
Filed under: Setaria viridis
Lineage: Eukaryota; Viridiplantae; Streptophyta; Magnoliopsida; Poales; Poaceae
Description: long non-coding RNA (SVIR_LNC010752)
Source: RNAcentral
ACGAGUAGACCUUGGAUGGCCCACUAAGGGACAUACUCGGAUGUGAUCAGGAUAAGGGAUAGGUGUAUUCCGCUCGGACUAGUCAAGUAUGAGUAUGGAAAACUACUCGGGCCAUACCGAGUAGAACUCUGUAAUAGUACUCGACUAGGGCUCGGACUUGUAACCCUGCCCUCCCGUGUAUAUAAGGGCGGGCAGGGACCCCCCCCUCAAAGAAGAACAGCUCCAGUUCAUCCAAAAUCAAUACAAACAAACACACAGGACGUAGGGUAUUACGCAAUCUAGCAGCCCGAACCUGUCUAAAUCGUGUUCCUUGCAUCACCAUUGAUUCCUUGAUUCUCGACGAUCC